Molecule: long non-coding RNA, 1300 nt
Organism: Oncorhynchus nerka (sockeye salmon)
Lineage: Eukaryota; Metazoa; Chordata; Actinopteri; Salmoniformes; Salmonidae
Exons: 3
Source: RefSeq, a predicted model, not a curated record
CCAUUACAAUAACAUGGGAGGUUAACUUUUUUCGGGGGGUAUGAUAUUUGUGCGUCUAACUUUCUCACUCAUCAUUAUUCACGAUUCAUUCAAGUCAUGGUAGCAUCCAAAUGAUUGUAGACAUGUUUAGAAGCAAAUUCUAUUCUUCUUCACAGUAAAAGUGACCGCAAAAUGACACAAUUCAAUAUUUACCAUUCAUUUAUUUGGAUUUACCAUUCAUACCCUCAAAUGAAUACUGUCAGUCUGCACUUUAACCUCAUAGUCAUUAUAUCCUUUCAAAUCCAAAGUGCUGGAGUACAGAACCAAAACAACACAAAAUGUGUCACUGUCCCAAUACUUUUGGAGCUCACUGUAUAUGCCUCGUUGUCAGUCAGUGAAAAAGUUUAAUGAGCCAGAGGCCUUUAUUUCCAGGCUGGCAGGCGAGGGAAGGGACACUUUCCAGACACAAUAGUGAAUAUGUCCAGUACUAAUUCCAGUAGGUAGACCUGAGUUCUGCUCCCACCAUUGGAGUGUGAGGCCAGCAGAAUAAGGUGUUGGUGGAUAAGGUGUUAGAGGAGACGAGAUCUCGGGCCCGGGGGGAGAUGUGUGACCUUCACACAAAGGUUCAUAUAAAGGGCAGAACAAUAUCAUAUGUUGAAAAUAAGAGCUUUUGUGCAUGCUCUUUCGAUCAUCUCCAUUUUCUGUCCACUUACCUGGCGUGGACUGCAUGGGUGAAGAGUCUGUCCAUGUGAUUCUAUGGAGGGGGACGAGGGACACAUACCUUUGGCUGCUGGUCAUGAUGGGCACCCUCCAUCCCUUGAUCUGGCUGAGCUCUGUGUCAGACACCUCGAUCUGGAGGGGCAGCCGUGGGAUCCACACGUUCAUCUCCAGUUGGGCACUCAGGAUAUUGGGGUCAUGAUAAGGACCUGAGCCCUAGCACCAUGCCCCAGGACUACCUGACAUGAUGACUCCUUGCUGUCCCCAGUCCACCUGGCCGUGCUGCUGCUCCAGUUUCAACUGUUCUGCCUUAUUAUUAUUCGACCAUGCUGGUCAUUUAUGAACAUUUGAACAUCUUGGCCAUGUUCUGUUAUAAUCUCCACCCGGCACAGCCAGAAGAGGACUGGCCACCCCACAUAGCCUGGUUCCUCUCUAGGUUUCUUCCUAGGUUUUGGCCUUUCUAGGGAGUUUUUCCUAGCCACCGUGCUUCUACACCUGCAUUGCUUGCUGUUUGGGGUUUUAGGCUGGGUUUCUGUACAGCACUUUGAGAUAUCAGCUGAUGUACGAAGGGCUAUAUAAAUAAAUUUGAUUUGAUUUGAUUUGA